CAGAUUUGAAUAAGGAACUGAGCGAAUAAGGAAACAGACAAAAAAGGAACUGCGAAUAAGGAACCAACUUCACGCUGGUUGUUAAAACAAGUUCUGUUUCUUUCCUGACCUUACCUCUUGCAUUUCUAACUGCAAAAUCGCUACUUGACGGCGCAGGGAAACCACUUCGUCACGAGUUUCGUUUCACAUAAGUGAAUCGAUUAAUACAGCCAUUAUUUUGAAACAUACAAAUGUUGAUACGCUGAACCUGUCUCUCUGUUCUUUUUCAGAUGUUUCAUAAAUAUUAUAGUUGUGUUUUAGUUAAAUCUCGUAUACAUAAGUACAUAUUGUAGGUGGUGAUCUGUCAUAUUUGUAAAAGUUUCAAAGUUUAGAUGUUACCCCUUUUAUAGUUAAAAUAUCAAUUUUGCACAACAAUUUUCAAUGAAAGAUACUGUACAUGACAGGUGUACUAUUUUGAAAUCCAGGAGUACAAGCAUAAAGUCCUAUUAGCAGACUCUGCCAUAGCAGACUAUAUAAUUUGCAGAUACCAGAUGAAUGUAUAGAUGCUACGUACACUAAUUGUAGACACACUGAAGAGAAGAACAACAACAAGAUAAAAAGAGGUGAUGCAGCUGUAGGCGGCAGCAGUGGUGGGGCCAAGCAGUUUGUCUUCCACAUAUAUUGAUUUCCAUAUUUAGGGGAGUGCUUUAGGUGCCUCCUCUAAAUAUGGAAAUUAAUUGUUACGUGGUAGACAAACUGUUGUCUCUUUAUUAAUACAUGUUUAACAUUUAUUAUUUUAUAUAAUACACCUAUUUCAAAUGAGGUUACAAUACCAAUGUCACAAACUGCAGUGCUUCAAAGAUAUCAAAUGAGCCAACAAAUAAGCAUAGAUCAAAGCCUACCCAUGUUUCUUUUUGUGUGUCUUUUGAAUGAACCAAUCAGUGUUACCGCACAUUGAUCCUCCAAUGCAAUACCUUGUUUGAAAUAGGUGUAUAAUAUAUAUUUCAAAAAUAUCCUAAGCCGUUAUAUUUUAUUAUUCUUGAUCUAAAUAACCAAUAGGUUCUCAUGACAAUACAAUAUUUUAUUAGGUUGUGCAUGAUUUUUCAUUGCCAAAUUAUCAAUGAUAAGACACAAGCAUAAUUUUAUACAUGAAUACUUUUCGAAUGAACCAUUUUAUUUUUUUAUGUCAUUGCGAUAUUUAUAUUGUGGUGUGCACAAUUUUUCAUUGCCAAAUUAUAAAGGAUAGGACACAAGCCUAACUUUAGAAAUGAAUAAUUUUGAAUGAACCAUUUUAAUUUCCUGUGUCAAUACAAUAUUUCUAUUAUGGCUUGCACAAUUUUUCACAACCAAAUUAUAUGUGAUAAGACACCAGCCUAAAUAAAUGCUUUUAAAUUAAAAGCCAUUUCUUAAUAAUUCAGAAUAACACCUUUUUAACACCAUGCAUUUUUCCUACUUACGUGUAUACACCACUUUCCUACUAAAAGCAAUCCCAUACUGCUGGAUCUCAGCUUAGACUUUUUCAUGUCAAAUAAUGGUGCAUUUGUACAAUGAUAAUAAAAACAAGCAUUCUCUAAAAGGCACCUAUUUGUUAAUAAAAGUAUUUAUUGUCA
Nematostella vectensis (starlet sea anemone) is the source of this 1589-nucleotide long non-coding RNA. RefSeq lists it as uncharacterized. The transcript has 2 exons. NCBI's taxonomy places the organism in Eukaryota, Metazoa, Cnidaria, Anthozoa, Actiniaria, Edwardsiidae. The record is from RefSeq and is a predicted model, not a curated record.